Ribosomal RNA from Streptomyces sp. NRRL WC-3618, 218 nucleotides. It matches the Rfam family "Bacterial large subunit ribosomal RNA", at positions 485 to 689 of the family's 2925-position model. Lineage: Bacteria; Bacillati; Actinomycetota; Actinomycetes; Kitasatosporales; Streptomycetaceae. The record is from Rfam.
CGAUAGCGGAUAGUACCGUGAGGGAAUGGUGAAAAGUACCGCGGGAGCGGAGUGAAAUAGUACCUGAAACCGUGUGCCUACAAGCCGUGGGAGCGUCGCGCGCCAAGUUUACUUGGUGCGUCGUGACUGCGUGCCUUUUGAAGAAUGAGCCUGCGAGUUUGCGGUGUGUUGCGAGGUUAACCCGUGUGGGGAAGCCGUAGCGAAAGCGAGUCCGAAUA